RNAcentral lists this ribosomal RNA (279 nucleotides) under uncultured Staphylococcus sp. RNAcentral's name for it is "partial 16S ribosomal RNA". It matches the Rfam family "Bacterial small subunit ribosomal RNA", at positions 505 to 784 of the family's 1533-position model. The record is from RNAcentral. Lineage: Bacteria; Bacillati; Bacillota; Bacilli; Caryophanales; Staphylococcaceae.
GUGCCAGCCGCCGCGGUAAUACGUAGGUGGCAAGCGUUAUCCGGAAUUAUUGGGCGUAAAGCGCGCGUAGGCGGUUUUUAAGUCUGAUGUGAAAGCCCACGGCUCAACCGUGGAGGGUCAUUGGAAACUGGAAAACUUGAGUGCAGAAGAGGAAAGUGGAACUCCAUGUGUAGCGGUGAAAUGCGCAGAGAUAUGGAGGAACACCAGUGGCGAAGGCGACUUUCUGGUCUGUAACUGACGCUGAUGUGCGAAAGCGUGGGGAUCAGACAGGAUUAGAUA